GACCGAGGAGGCAAGCGUUGUCCGGAUUGACUGGGCGUAAAGCGUCCGCAGGUGGUCGCGCAAGUGCGCUGUGAAAGCGGCCCGCUCAACGGGCGGAGGCCCGCGCAGACUGCGCAACUCGAGGUCGGGAGAGGUCGGUGGAAUUGCCGGUGUAGUGGUGAAAUGCGUAGAGAUCGGCAGGAACACCCAAGGGGAAGCCAGCCGACUGGCCCGCACCUGACACUCAGGGACGACAGCGUGGGGAGCGAACCGG
RNAcentral lists this ribosomal RNA (253 nucleotides) under uncultured bacterium. Its description in RNAcentral is "partial 16S ribosomal RNA". It matches the Rfam family "Bacterial small subunit ribosomal RNA", at positions 524 to 776 of the family's 1533-position model. The record is from RNAcentral.